This 137-nucleotide non-coding RNA is filed under the name Triticum aestivum (bread wheat). RNAcentral's name for it is "Bacterial large subunit ribosomal RNA". It matches the Rfam family "Bacterial large subunit ribosomal RNA", at positions 2667 to 2799 of the family's 2925-position model. Lineage: Eukaryota; Viridiplantae; Streptophyta; Magnoliopsida; Poales; Poaceae. The record is from Rfam by way of RNAcentral.
AGGACCUUUCCCUAGUACGAGAGGACCGGGAAGGACGCACCUCUGGUGUACCAGUUAUCGUGCCUACGGUAAACGCUGGGUAGCCAAGUGCGGAGAGGACUACCGCUCGGAAUUAGAUCAUAAGGGAAUUUCUAUCU